This 253-nucleotide ribosomal RNA is filed under the name uncultured bacterium. RNAcentral's name for it is "partial 16S ribosomal RNA". It matches the Rfam family "Bacterial small subunit ribosomal RNA", at positions 524 to 776 of the family's 1533-position model. The record is from RNAcentral.
UACAGAGGUCUCAAGCGUUGUUCGGAUUCAUUGGGCGUAAAGGGUGUGUAGGUGGCGCCGUAAGUCGGGUGUGAAAUUUCGGAGCUUAACUCCGAAACUGCAUUCGAUACUGCCGUGCUUGAGGACUGGAGAGGAGACUGGAAUUUACGGUGUAGCGGUGAAAUGCGUAGAUAUCGUAAGGAAGACCAGUGGCGAAGGCGGGUCUCUGGGACGGUACUGACGCUGAGACGCGAAAGCGUGGGGAGCGAACAGG